Long non-coding RNA from Daphnia magna, 3509 nucleotides. RefSeq lists it as uncharacterized. Lineage: Eukaryota; Metazoa; Arthropoda; Branchiopoda; Diplostraca; Daphniidae. The record is from RefSeq and is a predicted model, not a curated record. The transcript has 9 exons.
GAAUUCGCAAUUUUCCGUACAGUUAGAAACGCCAUCUUCUCCAAUGUAGUCGACAAAACAAUCUCUCAUUGCACUUCUACGGGGAAAUUAAAGGAAUUUUAAAUUUUCAGAAUUAUUAAUAUUUUCAUUUGAUUAACCUUUUUCAUUGUUAGUUUGUCGUGAUAGAAAAUUUGUUUCUAAGUUUCAUAGGCAUGGAUGGGAUUCACAAAAUUUGCUCUGAUAAAAGAUGAUUGAUCUUAAAUGUACCUCGAUUGACACACCUGACUACAUAGACAUUCUUCAUUUUAACUGCUCAAACAUGCCAUUGUUAUAGACCCUCAUCCUAUUGAUUCUUUCAACCAUUGUCCUCAUUGCAUAGUGUUUUGUGACUGGGACUGACAAUCCAGAUGAAAUUGCUGUGGAUAGAUGCUUCGGACUCUUAGGUUCAAAGUAGCUCAGUUAAAUGGCAUUUAAUGUAGUUUUUGCCAGAAAUGUCUAUUUGUGAUCGCUCCGACGUUGUGGAGCGAUUGCGGAAGUACCAAUAACUGAGUAAGUUUACUGUUAAAAUUAGUCAGUGUCUCCCUUGUUGACAUUGAUGGACAUUCCCUAUUGAGCUAAACAUUAUGUAUGCUAAGUUAUGCUUUCCUUCUAGAUCUUGUGAUCAACUACCACUAUAUAAGUAGAAACUGAGAUGCAUGUCUUAGAUCUCUUUCCCUCUGUGGCUUCGUUUGCCUUUGACUUAUGGUAAGUAUAUAGCGGUCAUGCCGCUAGCGAAUAAUAAUGUUUACGAAAUGAGAAACGUCCUAAUAAUUGGUACAAAAACAUUCGUGGUUGCAUCAAGAAUUUCAUUGGGAAGUAAAGAUUAUGUUGAGAAAAUUUCGUUUAUGCCAUUCAAGAAGUCGUUUUUACUCGAUGACCUUUCAUGUCAUGUAAAGCGCCUUUACUGUUCCGAUUUUUUUAUUCGUGUAAUUUCGUUACAAUAUCUGCUAUAAAAAGGAAUUAUUUGCUCAGAAUUUUGUAUUGUUAGAUGACUAUCUUCAUACAGAUAUAGACAAAUUAUUGAUUCACGACGCGUCAAAAAUUAAUAAAACCCGCCACUAUUAAAUCCUUAAUUAAUAGAAGUUCAUUUCAAAACUUUCUCACACUACACUGCAAAAUUUUACGCAUCAAGUUCAGGAAAAAAAAGAAGUUUCCUAAGGAUCAUAUCAAUACUCUGCUACGAGACAAAGCAAACUACAUCCGCAUUCGUACUGCAGUUAUUCCCGUCUUGUUCCAAUGAACAAAACCAACAUUGACAGCUUAGAAAAUGGUAGUAUAUUUUUAAAUGGAACGUUACGUGGCGAUUUCGGAAAAGUAACUCCCCAUUGAAGCGUCAGAUGACGGUUAAAAGAACGGACUCUUUCGUUUGCUUUGCCAAGUGAAUCUGUGCUUGGAACUGGCAGGUGGCGUUUAGCAGUGGCAUCCAAUCUCUAUUCUUAAAAUCCAGCGGUGUUCUUCACUUUUCAGGAGGAUUGAUUGAUGAUACUUGUUGGUUAAACCACGAAGAAUACCAAUACAUGGAUGAGUGGAGGGCUAUAAAAGUUUAAAACUAAUUCCUUAUGGCAUUUUCAUUCUCGCAUGCGCGGCAGUUCGUGAGCAGACGAAGCAUUGAAAGAGCCUUGCGCAGUCUAGCUGCAUCCAGCCAGAUACUUGUAGAACCCGAAAUAUUGUUUUGACAAGUACUGCCAUAUUUCGGUGGCUGGUUUUCAGUAAAUACCAAGUAUAUCAGAAAAAAGAUUCACAUUUUCAUGAUCCUCGUCAAAUUUGGGGUCGAUUCCAUGUAUCAGCUCAAAAUACCCCAAAAUCGUCAAAAAUCGCAAAUUUUCCUGAACAUGUUCCUGAACACUGUUCAUGAAAAAUCACGAUUUUGUUCAAAUCCGACUUUUGGCUACAAACACGUCAUUCCAACUCAAAUUCGAUAAGGAUCACAAAAAUCCUACUCGUUUUAUUAUGGGAUUACUAUUUCCGGAGAUAUUGGCUACUUCCGGUUACUUCCAUAAAUUUUUCCUGACAAUUUUCAAAAAGGUAGUGCAGCUAUUAUUCCCUGUUUCUUUUCGCCAUCAACAGUACAGGUGACCCUACGAGCAACGACAGUUUCAGCUACAAAUGUUUCAGUGCCUGGUCUUUCAACCAAUAGUUGAUAUUCUAGGUUCUUAUGUUUAAAAUUGAAAUUUAACUAUUUGAGAUUAGUAAAGUUCAAGCACUUAAAAAUAAGAACUGUACUGACAUGGUACUGAUUUCAAAAUAAAAUUCAUUUUUUGGGGGGUUUCAGGAGGGAAAAUAGAUGGCGUUGAUCUUUGUCUAUGAUAAAUAUUACGAGUGACAAGUUAAAUUGAUGGUUUGUUACGUUUCUACCCUGUUUAGUGUUUUAAAGGAUUUUCAUCAAAUAUUUACGUGUCGCCAUUGAUAGAAGUGUGUUGGAAGGACAUCACAUCAAAAAAUUGCUUUUUGUAUGCAACAGUUUCCCCUGCCAUCACCUUUCCAAACUACUGAACGAGAUACAUUGGACAUUAUUCUUCAUAUUGAGAAAACUGUUUUCAUACUAAGGCCAAAAGAAUACUGAAACAAAAAAUCUUCAUCUAUUGAAUGGUACCAAUCAUCUACCAGCUGCCUACUUAUCCUUCUUCCGAACUUCACUCCUGAGCUGAUCGCUAUCCAUAGCUAUCUGCACUUCAUGUCAUUAAUCUAAAGCUUUCAAAUCUUCAUCUUUGAAUGCUAUCUCAACCAUUUCUUCUAUGCUGCCUUGACCUCCCCUUGACCUUCAAACAUACAGAAAUUUCAACACCCUCACCUCUUUAUGGAUUGCCAAGUGUUCAUUUUCGUGUUUCAUGGAAAAUCGUCGUCCAAAACAUGUGCUGACUGCUGAAGUCUUAAUUCCCGUGCGUCGUGAAACACGUGGCAUCCAAUACCGAUAGAUGUUAUCCCGGAAGGUGUAUGGAUCCAAAACAACCCACGGCUAUGGCGCAGGACAUCAUCGUGGAGCGUCUUAUUCAAUGUAGUAUUGUUUUGUUAUUUUGUUCGUGUGAGUUAACCCGUUGGCUGCCACCCACUUUUCUCCCAUUUUUUUUUGUAGCUUUAGGGACCGGCCGCACUGUCCUGCCCCGUGGGGUGGGGCAGUUGCAAUGGCCUUCGCCGAAAGGCGCUUAGGCAAUGCACCAGUAGGGACUUCUCUUUGUUCGAUGCGAUGGCGGAAUCUUGAGGGUGUGCAUUCCCUGUAAUGGAUUCCGUCAUCGCAUCAGCCCGGACUUUUCUUCGGACAAGUCCCACCUUGGUCGUGGAUCCUUCAGAUGCGACGCGUAGUUAAGUAGUAACACAACCUAAGGGUUGUAAGGCGUGGCAGCCAACGGGUUAACUAUUUGUGUAUGUGUGUAUGUAUGUAUGUAUGUAUGUAUGUAUGUAUUUUUGUAUUUUGUUAUGUAUGUUUGAUUUUGUAUGUAAACAGUGGUGGAAUUGUGGGAGGUGGUGGGACAAUACAAACAAUUCCUGUCAUA